UCCCUAGGAGAUAGACAAGGUCGAGAACAAAGAAACUGAGGCUCAGUGAAUCUGAUGGAUCUUCUCAACGAAGAAUUACCCAAAGAGAAUGGAGGCCGGAGCUCAGUUCGCCUGGCCCUUCUCCCAUGUAACACAAGCUGAACCAAAUCCUGCUUGUGUCCUUCAUGAUGUUGGAAACCCAAGGUCAAAACAUUAAGCACCUUCCUUUCACGCUUUCCAGCCAAUAUGGGAGGGGCGCAGGCUCAGGGAAACCUCGUCAUUGUGGAAACACCUCCUUUCUGAACCCCAGAAACUUUAGUAGGAGAAAUGUGGGCUGGGGCUGUAGCUCAGAGCCCAGCGUAGGCUCCGCAUGGCUGAGACCGGUGAGGGGAAAUGGAAAUGCUCAAUGCUGCUAAGGGGUCGUUACGGUUUGAGUGUGUACCCCAAAAGUUCAUGUGUUAGAAACUUAGCCCCCCAAAUUCAUAUGCUAAGCAAUUAGGAUUAGAUGAGGUCAUGGGGUCGGGGACCCUCACGGUGACAUUAGUGACAUUAUAAAUAAAGGAAGAGAACUGAGCCGACAUACUUGCUCGCCUCAUGAUGCCCUGGGCCGUGUCCUAACAGCAAGAAGAGCCUCAUCAGAGGCUGAGCAGAUUCUGGUGCCCUAGUCUUCAGCCUCCAGAAUUAUGAGCCAAAUGAAUUUCUACUUUUUUAUUUUUUAUUUUCAUUUUUUGGCAGUGCCAGGAUGAGACCCAGGGCUUUGUGCAUAUUAGGCAAGCCAAGCGCUCUACCUCUGAGCCACAAAACCAGUGUAUAAAAUUCUACCCUUUAUAAAGUACCUAGUCUGCGUUAUUCUGUUACAGCCAUGGAUGUGGAUCCAGACGGGCACAUGGCAGGACUGUCCAGCCUUGCCUGCGUAUUUGAAGUCACUGAGGAGCUUAUGAAAAUCCUUUUGCUCAGAACGCUCUUCCGACGAUUCUCCAAAGAUUCCUAAGUGGUCUGGACUAUGGAUUGGGCACAGGGAGUUUUAAAAACACUUCCAGGUCACUCCGACCCGCAGCCAAGGUGGGACACCACCUUGACUCCUGAUGUAUGGAAAUUCUCCUUUGAUUUUCCUUGGAAACGGAGCAGCUGAGGUCUCCAGGCUGCUUUAACACUGCCUGUUCUGAAGAGCCACUGCCCGAGUUCAUGCUGGUGCUCAGCUCAUCUGGCGGCACGGCUGACUGCCUGGUCUCUUUGGGUGGACGGGCAGAGGUGACAUUGAGGCAGAGUGCAGGACAGGCUCCAGGAGCGGAUGCGAGGCCUCUGCCGAGUUUACGGGUUGGCUUUUUCCUGCUACCGCAGGCCUCCAUGUACCUUGCUGUGGGUUAGAGCCCAGGCUGCUGGAGCAGAGGCUCCCGAUGGACUCCUGCUGCACUCAGCAGCCUUCAGACUUGAAUCCCACAUGGGCUCUUCCCUGGACCUCAAGCCUGCAGACUCUGGACCUGCCAGCCUCCAUCACCAGGCUCAAGUUCAGGUGCAAGCCUGGACUCCUCGGCUCACACGGUCCUGAGACUCCAGCUCAUUCCAAAGAGUGGUCAAGGAAUCAUCUUCCCCAGAGACACCCCAGUGGCAGACACUUGUUUUUUUAAGCUGUUUAAGACUGAAACAGAGUUUUCUGUGUUUGACCUUCAAGUUCAACUAAUGGUUCUGAUGGAAAAUAAGAAAAGAGGACUAAAGAUGAGAAAAUAUGACUACUCUCCUCCUACUAGAAGCUAUUCUUGAGCCAUAAGAAACAAUACCCACAAAGAACACUGCUGUUUGAUGUCAGAAUCACAUGCAUCUAAGACAUGACUGCUAUUUGUAAAAGAAACAACUGCGAGCAGAUUUCAAAGGGGAAGCCUGAGCCCAGGUCACGGGGGCUGUAUUAUUGCUAACAUCACCAUUCUGAAAAGUUCCCGGAGACGCUUUUGAAAGGAAAUUCUGCCUGCUCUGUGCUGCUCUGUGUGCUUAGCAAGAUGCAAACAGACUUAAGUGAGACAGGAAGAGGGCUGAGAAGCAGAGAGAUGGAUUCCAAACACCAGGUGGGAGAAUUCAUCUCACCUUGUCUAAUCAGUGCCUGGAGAGGGGAACGCAGACUUCCUUCCCUCUCCUCAAGUCCCUGGAAAAUAGUGCAAAACGGAUUAAGUAAUAGGGAUGAAGUGUUUUUACAUUUUUAAAUUUAUGUCUCUCUCUCUCCCUCCUGCCUAAUCUCUGUAACAUGGACUUCCGGGGAUAAAUAUAGACCACGGUGAAAGAAAAUUGCCUAGGACCCUGGCUGGCUUCAGAUAAAUUUGCUACUAGCAUGGUAGAAAACUCAACGUAGCUUUAAACAAGCUCUCUUUUCCAUCUACAGAAGCUCCAGGCAGCAAACACCACGAACCUAGAAGGUACAUCCUGACAUGUUCAAUAAAUGCACGAGCCAACAAAUAAUGUCCAUCCCAUACACGAGUAGCCCCACAGAGGCUACUUUGAAAAGAAGCAUUUUCGUAAGGAAACCAAUAAUAUUUUUCCCCCCUAGGGGAAAUAUAGGUCCUCUCCUACAUUCUUAAUUACUGUCCUGACUCUGCCCACAUCUCAGAAAACGUCCUAAGUGGGGAAGACUACAUCCUAGCAUAUUUCACUACUGAGCCAGCCAUUAAGCUGUUCGUCUCAACUUCUAACUGGUGCUCUGUGCUCGGCUCUGUGAAUCUGAGGCUGACUCUGCAGACCCCAUUGCUGCUGUGCGGGUCCUCCAUGUUUGCCUCCUCCAAUGGGGCCCUUGCGGGAGGAAGCCUGGCGGGCUGGAGGAGAGGCUUGUUGCUUCUUGUUUGCUUCCCGUUGCUGCCAGCCUCACCCAGCUCCCUCCUCCACUUUGGCAGUUGACCAAGUAACAGAAGGGGACUCCAGUUGGAAGUUUUCCAACAUUCAUGCCCUCAGAAAUGCCAGCAGGUUGGUGCCCUUUCCUCGAGAGCACAGGGCCAAGCUCAUGGAGGCCCGGCCUCCAAGCUCAAAGACAGUCGCCCCAGCUAACGGAAGCCCUUCUCAGAAGUCUGAAAUCCGUGGGGACCCCUCUCCAAGCUUCUAAGGGUUAAUGAUUCCCUUUCUUCCCUACCCCUAAGAGAGGGAACUGCUUCCUGCAGUUGCUACUUCUGGAGUUCCACUGUCUUCUCCAGUUCAUAAUUAUUUACACUGACACAUUGCUACUUAGAAGAGGAUGAGACUGUUUUCUCUCCCCUGUCUAGACUGACUUACACAAAAAUUUAUACCAGAAAUGGUCUCAGGAAACAGACUGCUUGAUUCAAUUAAAGACAGAAUUUGGGGAUUGC
This is a non-coding RNA of Ictidomys tridecemlineatus (thirteen-lined ground squirrel), 3302 nucleotides long. NCBI's taxonomy places the organism in Eukaryota, Metazoa, Chordata, Mammalia, Rodentia, Sciuridae. The record is from RefSeq and is a predicted model, not a curated record.